This 75-nucleotide transfer RNA is filed under the name Podarcis lilfordi (Lilford's wall lizard). It matches the Rfam family "tRNA". Rfam says of the family: Transfer RNA (tRNA) molecules are approximately 80 nucleotides in length. Their secondary structure includes four short double-helical elements and three loops (D, anti-codon, and T loops). Further hydrogen bonds mediate the characteristic L-shaped molecular structure. tRNAs have two regions of fundamental functional importance: the anti-codon, which is responsible for specific mRNA codon recognition, and the 3' end, to which the tRNAs corresponding amino acid is attached (by aminoacyl-tRNA synthetases). tRNAs cope with the degeneracy of the genetic code in two manners: having more than one tRNA (with a specific anti-codon) for a particular amino acid; and 'wobble' base-pairing, i.e. permitting non-standard base-pairing at the 3rd anti-codon position. Lineage: Eukaryota; Metazoa; Chordata; Lepidosauria; Squamata; Lacertidae. The record is from Rfam by way of RNAcentral.
GCCUGGAUGGCUCAGUUGGUUUAGAGCAUGGUGCUCAUAUUGCCAAGGUUGCAGGUUCAAUCCCUGUACAGGGCA